UUCUGACGAAGACAAGCCACAACGCAAACUGCUUGUCCCGGUCGAUAUUGGAUUCUGGCACCCUUCAGCUUGGCAUUACUUCUCAACUGGGACAUAGUCGAGAAAAUUUCCAUUCCGAAAAGAUCCCAAACUGACAGGACUCGAACCCACAACCCUCAGCUUGGUCUUGUUGAAUAGCUGCACGUUCACCGCUACGACUAUCUGGGCCCCUACCCCAUUGGAGCGUAUUUUCCACAGGCAAGGGCGGCACUUUUCAAUCGACUUCAACGAAUGAAUGUCGAUGGCGUCACUUUGUUCGGGAAUCGAUCAGACGGAGAUGAGGUGCUUUCUUCUGCCGUGUCUCGGACGAGAAGCAAGCGAGUUGAAUGGAACGAGAUGGAACACGGUAAUCAAAUUUUCUUUGCCGGAAGAAUCGUCACGCUGGAAAACGGCAUGGAAGAAGUCAAUUGAAAAUUGAUUUGGCGAUAACGGUUUCAACAGUUAGGUGAUAUUUCCCGAUGGUUUCCUGGGAAGAAAAUUCAGUUCAAUGUGGUUUGUGGUUUCGAAUUUGUAAUAAAGAAGCUGUUAUCGAGAUGUCGUUGCCAAAAA
Aedes aegypti (yellow fever mosquito) is the source of this 588-nucleotide long non-coding RNA. RefSeq lists it as uncharacterized. NCBI's taxonomy places the organism in Eukaryota, Metazoa, Arthropoda, Insecta, Diptera, Culicidae. The record is from RefSeq and is a predicted model, not a curated record. The transcript is spliced from 2 exons.